AGCCUGUUAGUAUAAUUAGUACUCAUGUCUUCCACACAUAAGGUUUGUCCACACAAACAUGCUA
RNAcentral lists this transfer RNA (64 nucleotides) under Phascolopsis gouldii. RNAcentral describes it as "tRNA-Gly". Lineage: Eukaryota; Metazoa; Annelida; Sipuncula; Golfingiida; Sipunculidae. The record is from RNAcentral.